This 373-nucleotide unclassified non-coding RNA is filed under the name fungal sp. RNAcentral's name for it is "partial internal transcribed spacer region". The stretch from base 1 to 46 matches the Rfam family "Eukaryotic small subunit ribosomal RNA", at positions 1786 to 1831 of the family's 1831-position model. Lineage: Eukaryota; Fungi. The record is from RNAcentral.
AAGUCGUAACAAGGUUUCCGUAGGUGAACCUGCGGAAGGAUCAUUAACACGUGAAAACGUAUUAACCAAUCUACCUUAAACAACCCGUGAAUUUCACCCCUACCUAUUUCUUAGAUACUGUUUAGUGCAAUAUGUAGUAGGAUAUGAUAGGCAACUAUCAUAUGCAAUUGUACUAAUACUAGGGUUUCGAACCCAAGGUGUCUUUUUUAUAGGCUUUUUUCUUUUUUCCCCUACUACAAAAAAACUAAAACAAACCAAUUUCACCUAUUAAACCCUAUUUUGACUGAUGUACGUUGAUAGUAAAGAAAUUUACUGGAUCAACACCAUUUAUCUAAACUAAGCACAACUCUUAGCAAUGGAUAUCUUGGUUCUC